AAAAUACGGGAGGCAGCAGUGGGGAAUUUUGGACAAUGGGCGAAAGCCUGAUCCAGCAAUGCCGCGUGUGUGAUGAAGGCCUUCGGGUUGUAAAGCACUUUUGGCGGGAACGAAAAGGACCGUGCCAAUACCAUGGUCUGAUGACGGUACCCGCAGAAUAAGCACCGGCUAACUACGUGCCAGCAGCCGCGGUAAUUUUU
RNAcentral lists this ribosomal RNA (200 nucleotides) under uncultured bacterium. RNAcentral describes it as "partial 16S ribosomal RNA". It matches the Rfam family "Bacterial small subunit ribosomal RNA", at positions 333 to 528 of the family's 1533-position model. The record is from RNAcentral.